This 66-nucleotide transfer RNA is filed under the name Teloganodidae sp. MT-2014. RNAcentral describes it as "tRNA-Ser". Lineage: Eukaryota; Metazoa; Arthropoda; Insecta; Ephemeroptera; Teloganodidae. The record is from RNAcentral.
UAGAUACAAAGUACAAAAAGUGGCUGCUAACUUCUUUUUCAGCAGUUAAAUUCUGUUGGUAUCUAU